Molecule: transfer RNA, 74 nt
Filed under: Planctomycetota bacterium
Lineage: Bacteria; Pseudomonadati; Planctomycetota
Description: Planctomycetes bacterium tRNA-Pro
Rfam family: tRNA
About the family: Transfer RNA (tRNA) molecules are approximately 80 nucleotides in length.
Source: RNAcentral
CAGGGUGUAGCUCAGCUUGGUAGAGCGCGUGGUUUGGGUCCACGAGGUCGCCGGUUCGAAUCCGGCCACCCUGA